RNAcentral lists this unclassified non-coding RNA (293 nucleotides) under Hevea brasiliensis (rubber tree). Lineage: Eukaryota; Viridiplantae; Streptophyta; Magnoliopsida; Malpighiales; Euphorbiaceae. The record is from RNAcentral.
UUUGCUGAUCGAUAACGCCGUAAAUGCCGGUGGCGCCCCGAAAUUGACGGGCGAUGCCGUUGCUCAGGGGGUGAGCGAGCGAUACCCCGCUGGGGUCGAAUCUCUGGUGGUCGAACAUUCCAAAAUGAUGCCAUGCGCCCAACCNNNNNAGCGAGUCCCUCAGCAUCCUUUCCCUGAUUAUAGCGGUAUUGAAUCUCACCCAUCAGCAAUGGCGGGUCGUUGACCCGAAAAUUGGUCCCGGUGCGGUUGAUGGUUCCUUGGUCGCCGGGGUUCCCGUUGAAUAGUGCGAGCAG